Molecule: ribosomal RNA, 253 nt
Filed under: uncultured bacterium
Lineage: Bacteria
Description: partial 16S ribosomal RNA
Rfam family: Bacterial small subunit ribosomal RNA
Source: RNAcentral
UACGAAGGGGGCGAGCGGUGAUCGGAAUUACUGGGCGUAAAGCGCACGUAGGCGGACUUUUAAGUCGGGUGUGAAAUCCUGGAGCUCAACUCCAGAACUGCCUUCGAAACUGAAAGCCUUGAGUUCGGGAGAGGUGAGUGGCUCUCCGAGUGUAGAGGUGAAAUUCGUAGAUAUUCGCAAGAACACCAGUGGCGAAGGCGGCUCACUGGCCCGAUACUGACGCUGAGGUGCGAAAGCGUGGGGAGCAAACAGG